GACGACGGGUAGCCGGCCUGAGAGGGCGACCGGCCACACUGGGACUGAGACACGGCCCAGACUCCUACGGGAGGCAGCAGUGGGGAAUAUUGCACAAUGGGCGAAAGCCUGAUGCAGCGACGCCGCGUGAGGGAUGAAGGCCUUCGGGUUGUAAACCUCUUUCAGCAGGGAAGAAGCGCAAGUGACGGUACCUGCAGAAGAAGCGCCGGCUAACUACGUGCCAGCAGCCGCGGUAAUACGUAGGGCGCAAGCGUUGUCCGGAAUUAUUGGGCGUAAAGAGCUCGUAGGCGGUUUGUCGCGUCUGGUGUGAAAACUCGAGGCUCAACCUCGAGCUUGCAUCGGGUACGGGCAGACUAGAGUGCGGUAGGGGAGACUGGAAUUCCUGGUGUAGCGGUGGAAUGCGCAGAUAUCAGGAGGAACACCGAUGGCGAAGGCAGGUCUCUGGGCCGCAACUGACGCUGAGGAGCGAAAGCAUGGGGAGCGAACAGGAUUAGAUACCCUGGUAGUCCAUGCCGUAAACGUUGGGCACUAGGUGUGGGGCUCAUUCCACGAGUUCCGUGCCGCAGCAAACGCAUUAAGUGCCCCGCCUGGGGAGUACGGCCGCAAGGCUAAAACUCAAAGGAAUUGACGGGGGCCCGCACAAGCGGCGGAGCAUGCGGAUUAAUUCGAUGCAACGCGAAGAACCUUACCAAGGCUUGACAUGCACGAGAAGCCACCAGAGAUGGUGGUCUCUUUGGACACUCGUGCACAGGUGGUGCAUGGUUGUCGUCAGCUCGUGUCGUGAGAUGUUGGGUUAAGUCCCGCAACGAGCGCAACCCUCGUCCCAUGUUGCCAGCGGGUUAUGCCGGGGACUCAUGGGAGACUGCCGGGGUCAACUCGGAGGAAGGUGGGGAUGACGUCAAAUCAUCAUGCCCCUUAUGUCUUGGGCUUCACGCAUGCUACAAUGGCCGGUACAAAGGGCUGCGAUACCGUAAGGUGGAGCGAAUCCCAAAAAGCCGGUCUCAGUUCGGAUUGGGGUCUGCAACUCGACCCCAUGAAGUCGGAGUCGCUAGUAAUCGCAGAUCAGCAACGCUGCGGUGAAUACGUUCCCGGGCCUUGUACACACCGCCCGUCAAGUCACGAAAGUCGGUAACACCCGAAGCCCAUGGCCCAACCGUUCGCGGGGGGAGUGGUCGA
Molecule: ribosomal RNA, 1176 nt
Filed under: Cellulosimicrobium sp. BE046
Lineage: Bacteria; Bacillati; Actinomycetota; Actinomycetes; Micrococcales; Promicromonosporaceae
Description: bacterial SSU rRNA
Rfam family: Bacterial small subunit ribosomal RNA
Source: RNAcentral